This 470-nucleotide ribosomal RNA is filed under the name uncultured Tuber. Its description in RNAcentral is "eukaryotic LSU rRNA". The stretch from base 150 to 303 matches the Rfam family "5.8S ribosomal RNA". Lineage: Eukaryota; Fungi; Ascomycota; Pezizomycetes; Pezizales; Tuberaceae. The record is from RNAcentral.
AUGUUGCUUUCCCAGGCCUGUGGCCACUGCUACCAGCCCGGCCAUUAUUUGGUUAUCAGGUUGAGGUGCCUGGGGAAGGGUCAAUCAUGAAACUUUACAUUACAUUACCGUCUGAAAAGGCCAUGUGCCGUUAUAUAUAAACAUUUUAAAACUUUCAACAACGGAUCUCUUGGCUCUCGCAUCGAUGAAGAACGCAGCGAAAUGCGAUAAGUAAUGUGAAUUGCAGAAUUCAGUGAAUCAUCGAAUCUUUGAACGCACAUUGCGCCCUUUGGUAUUCCUUAGGGCAUGCCUGUUCGAGCGUCACUAACAACCUGAUCACCUCAUGUGUGGUAUUGGCAGAAGUGGGUAGAGCAUAGUUGCUAGUAGUCCCACCCUGCUGGAAUGAAUAGGCUGGAAAAGUAGAUCAUAGCAACAGACUUUCAGAGUAUUUUGAAAUGCUAAAUUAGUUUGGAGCUGGUCGGAACCCAGGC